UACGGGGGGAGCAAGCGUUGUUCGGAUUUACUGGGCGUAAAGGGCGCGUAGGCGGCACUGCAAGUCAGUUGCGAAAUCUCCGGGCUUAACCCGGAAAGGUCAACUGAUACUGCAGGGCUAGAGUGCAGAAGGGGCAACUGGAAUUCUCGGUGUAGCGGUGAAAUGCGUAGAUAUCGAGAGGAACACCUGCGGCGAAGGCGGGUUGCUGGGCUGACACUGACGCUGAGGCGCGAAAGCUAGGGGAGCGAACGGG
Molecule: ribosomal RNA, 253 nt
Filed under: uncultured bacterium
Lineage: Bacteria
Description: partial 16S ribosomal RNA
Rfam family: Bacterial small subunit ribosomal RNA
Source: RNAcentral